This 259-nucleotide ribosomal RNA is filed under the name uncultured Ochrobactrum sp. RNAcentral describes it as "partial 16S ribosomal RNA". It matches the Rfam family "Bacterial small subunit ribosomal RNA", at positions 67 to 356 of the family's 1533-position model. The record is from RNAcentral. Lineage: Bacteria; Pseudomonadati; Pseudomonadota; Alphaproteobacteria; Hyphomicrobiales; Brucellaceae.
CGCCCCGCAAGGGGAGCGGCAGACGGGUGAGUAACGCGUGGGAACGUACCUUUUGCUACGGAAUAACUCAGGGAAACUUGUGCUAAUACCGUAUGUGCCCUUCGGGGGAAAGAUUUAUCGGCAAAGGAUCGGCCCGCGUUGUAUUAGCUAGUUGGUGAGGUAAAGGCUCACCAAGGCGACGAUCCAUAGCUGGUCUGAGAGGAUGAUCAGCCACACUGGGACUGAGACACGGCCCAGACUCCUACGGGAGGCAGCAGCG